UGUCUUCGGGCACUAGUGGCGGACGGGUGAGUAACGCGUGGGAACAUACCCUUUGGUACGGAAUAGCCUCGGGAAACUGAGAGUAAUACCGUAUGUGCCCUUCGGGGGAAAGAUUUAUCGCCAAAGGAUUGGCCCGCGUUGGAUUAGGUAGUUGGUGGGGUAAUGGCCUACCAAGCCGACGAUCCAUAGCUGGUUUGAGAGGAUGAUCAGCCACACUGGGACUGAGACACGGCCCAGACUCCUACGGGAGGCAGCAGUGGGGAAUCUUAGACAAUGGGGGAAACCCUGAUCUAGCCAUGCCGCGUGAUCGAUGAAGGCCUUAGGGUUGUAAAGAUCUUUCAGAUGGGAAGAUAAUGACGGUACCAUCAGAAGAAGCCCCGGCUAACUCCGUGCCAGCAGCCGCGGUAAUACGGAGGGGGCUAGCGUUAUUCGGAAUUACUGGGCGUAAAGCGCACGUAGGCGGAUUAGAAAGUCAGAGGUGAAAUCCCAGGGCUCAACCUUGGAACUGCCUUUGAAACUCCUAGUCUUGAGGUCGAGAGAGGUGAGUGGAAUUCCGAGUGUAGAGGUGAAAUUCGUAGAUAUUCGGAGGAACACCAGUGGCGAAGGCGGCUCACUGGCUCGAUACUGACGCUGAGGUGCGAAAGCGU
Molecule: ribosomal RNA, 647 nt
Filed under: Rhodobacter sp. B662_4
Lineage: Bacteria; Pseudomonadati; Pseudomonadota; Alphaproteobacteria; Rhodobacterales
Description: bacterial SSU rRNA
Rfam family: Bacterial small subunit ribosomal RNA
Source: RNAcentral